Molecule: ribosomal RNA, 544 nt
Filed under: uncultured bacterium
Lineage: Bacteria
Description: partial 16S ribosomal RNA
Rfam family: Bacterial small subunit ribosomal RNA
Source: RNAcentral
UGGGGAAUUUUGGACAAUGGGGGAAACCCUGAUCCAGCCAUCCCGCGUGUGCGAUGAAGGCCUUCGGGUUGUAAAGCACUUUUGGCAGGAAAGAAACGUCGCGGGUUAAUACCCCGCGAAACUGACGGUACCUGCAGAAUAAGCACCGGCUAACUACGUGCCAGCAGCCGCGGUAAUACGUAGGGUGCAAGCGUUAAUCGGGAAUUACUGGGCGUAAAGCGUGCGCAGGCGGUUCGGAAAGAAAGAUGUGAAAUCCCAGAGCUUAACUUUGGAACUGCAUUUUUAACUACCGGGCUAGAGUGUGUCAGAGGGAGGUGGAAUUCCGCGUGUAGCAGUGAAAUGCGUAGAUAUGCGGAGGAACACCGAUGGCGAAGGCAGCCUCCUGGGAUAACACUGACGCUCAUGCACGAAAGCGUGGGGAGCAAACAGGAUUAGAUACCCUGGUAGUCCACGCCCUAAACGAUGCUCAACUAGCCUAGUUGGGGCCUUCGGGCCUUGGUAGCGCAGCUAACGCGUGAAGUUGACCGCCUGGGGAGUACGGUCG